UACGUAGGGUGCGAGCGUUAAUCGGAAUUACUGGGCGUAAAGCGUGCGCAGGCGGUUUUGUAAGACAGGCGUGAAAUCCCCGGGCUCAACCUGGGAAUGGCGCUUGUUACUGCAAGGGUGGAGUGCGGCAGAGGGGGAUGGAAUUCCGCGUGUAGCAGUGAAAUGCGUAGAUAUGCGGAGGAACAACGAUGGCGAAGGCAAUUCCCUGGGCCUGCACUGACGCUCAUGCACGAAAGCGUCGGGAGCAAACAGG
This 253-nucleotide ribosomal RNA is filed under the name uncultured bacterium. Its description in RNAcentral is "partial 16S ribosomal RNA". It matches the Rfam family "Bacterial small subunit ribosomal RNA", at positions 524 to 776 of the family's 1533-position model. The record is from RNAcentral.